UCAAGAGACACCUCUCCCCAUUCAGUGAGGCAGCAGGGAAGGGGAGCUCUUAGAACCACAGAAAUUAGAGAGCAGAGGAACCCAAGAGGUCAGCACAUCCACCAGCGUGACACUCAGGCUGCCUUCUACAGGGACCUUGUCAGUGAUUUGCUCUCCUCUGUUUUGACUCCAGAAAAAAAGGUGCUGUCAACCUCAUGUAGAGGGUUAUUCCACAGUUCUAUCUGUUAGGUGCUCUUUCACUCAAUUAAUUUCUUUCUUUUUUUUCUUUCUUUCUUUAUUUCUUUCUCAUAACCCGAUGCUCAUAGGUAUGAUAUUUUAGUUUCAUUUCAUACAUUGACUUGGGAGCUUGCCCAGAUCAUUGCAAUCUGUGGAGAGAACCAAAUAACUUCUGUAUUCUCUAAAGAGGUCUUUCACUUCUUCGGAGAAAGAUAAAUCUCUCAGAGGACAGAAACUGAAAGAUUGUCUCCAUGGCUGAGUUUGGGGCCUGAGAUUAAAAAGGAACCAAUUGAUCCCUGGAGAGCAUCACUCUUGCUCUGUCAGUGACUGAGGUUCCAUAUCCACAGAUCCCUAAAAACUUGCUCAGGCUCUCUGGGCCCUGGACAUAUCCAGGGAAGAAAACCAUUUGAGACGGGGGCGUUGAAAAAGGUCUCUAUUGGAUUUGGGGGAAGAAUCAAUUCAACACAAUUCUGCUGCAAAGUACAAAGUGCUUAAUCAAGAAGUUUGAAUUGUUUAUUUACUUUUUCUCUCUGGAGUAGAUGUGUGCUUUCAUAGCAGAAAAGAGACUUGGUAGUCAGAAAAUCCUUGGAUUGAAACUCACUCUAGUACAAGCUGGGGAGGUUUAUAAAGCUACAUAAGCACCAUUAGUCUCAAUUCCUUCCUUUAAAAAGGGUGGCAGGCAAUGGCGGCCUAUUUGUGGGUUGAUUUUGAGGAAGAGAAAAUACAAAGACAUUGGGAUCACACAGCAUGAAAUCAUCCAAAAGAAUAGGAUUUCAAUAUGUAAUUGAAACCAUUCAAUUCCGUGCUCACCUUCUGCUUCACGUCUUUCUUUUUCUCUUCAUCGGAGGGAACAGGACAGACAGAGCUGCUGCGGUUAAGAAGGCAAUACCCUUUGGACAACUGUGGAACCAUCUAACUCUCUGAACCUCAGAACCUGUGAACUCUCCAAACCUCGGCUCACCCCUUCUCCAGCAGCGAAUCCCUUCACCACUUACCAUGCUCACCUCCACACCUCUCAUUACCACCUCAAGUGUGAAGACUCAAGAUCACAGCUUUUCUGCGUUGAGUUCAAAUCCCUCCACAAGCUGGUCUUUGUCGACUUCUCUCACUCAGAGGUACUGGACUAUUUACUUUUUCAUUUAUUCAACAAGUAUCUAUAGGUUGCCUAGUAAGUGCAAAUCGCUGCAUUAGUGCUAAGUAUUUAAACUUGAACAUUUU
RNAcentral lists this long non-coding RNA (1434 nucleotides) under Marmota monax (woodchuck). Lineage: Eukaryota; Metazoa; Chordata; Mammalia; Rodentia; Sciuridae. The record is from RNAcentral.